Molecule: ribosomal RNA, 460 nt
Filed under: uncultured bacterium
Lineage: Bacteria
Description: partial 16S ribosomal RNA
Rfam family: Bacterial small subunit ribosomal RNA
Source: RNAcentral
CCUACGGGAGGCAGCAGUGAGGAAUAUUGGUCAAUGGGCGGAAGCCUGAACCAGCCAAGUAGCGUGCAGGAUGACGGCCCUACGGGUUGUAAACCGCUUUUAUACGGGAACAACGCGCCUUACGUGUAGGCCUCUGCAUGUACCCUAUGAAUAAGGACCGGCUAACUCCGUGCCAGCAGCCGCGGUUAUACGGAAGGUGCGGGCGUUAUUCGGAUUUUUUGGGUUUUAAGGGUGCGUAGGCCGGAAGUCCAGCGUGCUGUUAAAUGCACGGGCGUAACCCGGGCCUUGCAGCGGAAACUGGCGGGCUUGAGUGCGCGGAAGGCAGGCGGAAUUCGUCGUGUAGCGGUGAAAUGCUUAGAUAUGACGAAGAACCCCGAUUGCGAAGGCAGCUUGCUGGAGCGGAACUGACGCUGAUGCUCGAAAGCGCGGGUAUCGAACAGGAUUAGAUACCCGUGUAGUC